UAUUUGAUGUCUGCUAUUCCUGACUUGAGUCACUUGGAUUCCUUGUACACGAUGUGUUGGUUUUUUUCAUGGACCUGUAAUAAACCACAUCGUUGUUAAAUAUCAGAUGUGAAAUCCAAAGGAAAUCAAGAAAGAUGAAUAUAAUGAGUUCUACAAAAAGGUAUUCAAUGAGUUCCUGGAUCCUCUUGCUUACACCCACGUCACCAGAGGUAUUUUGUAACUAAAUAUAUCUUGAGAGAUUCUGGAAAGCAGAACCAGAAUCAAUAUGCAGAUAAAUUUGACAUAAUUCUUUACUAAACAGGGUGAGGUGGAAUUUAGGAGUGUUCUAUAUAUACCUGGAAUGGCACCUCUAAAUGAGGAUAUUGUAAAUCCCAAGACAAAAUAUCCACUUGUACGUUAAGCGUGUUUUUAUUUUUGAUGACUUUCAUGGUGAACUGGUGAGCUUAAAAUAAAUCAUUUCUUGUUUGGAGAUAUAUGUAGUUGUAUUAUUUAUAAACACUUAAUAGUUUAUAUAUCUCAAUAUGCUGAUGAUUAGUCCAAAUUUUCAGUUUCCUCAGUACUUGAGUUUUGUAAAGGGUGUAGUUGAUUCAAAUGGCCUUGCAUGUCUCACGGGAGAUCUUUCAAGAAAGUCAAAUUGUAAGUUGUUUAUUUUUGAUAAAUUUCUCCCUGUUGACUACUUCUGUUGCUGUUAACAGGUAAGAAUUAUGCGAAAGAGACUUGUCAGUAAGACAUUUAACAUGAUUCAAGAAUUAUCUGAAAGCGAAGACAGAGGACUAUAAGAAGUUUUGGGAGAAUUUUGGCGAGCUUAUCAAAUUAGGAUGUAUUGAGGACUCUGGAAAUCACAAGCGGUCGACACCUUUGCUGCGCUUUUACUCUUCCAAGAGUGAGGAAGAAUAUUACUUGGCAUCAGACAGUCUUAAAUUUGCCAAGACUGCCCCAUUUCUGGAGAAAUUUAUCGAGAAGGGAUAUCGAAAUAUUGUAUCUUGUGGAACCUAUCGAUGAAGUUGCCAUACAGAAUCUUCAGACAUACAAAGAAAAGAAAUUUGUUGGCAUUGGCAAAGAUGAUUAUAUCUAUGUUUCAUGGAGCAACUUAUAUUCCUUCAUAUUUGUAGAUUAUCAACUCCAUCCACGCAGAGCUGAUCGAGAUAUCCAUUACAGGGGAUGGGGAUGAGGAUGAGGUGAAGGUAAGAGAAGAAAAGCAAGAAUACAAUCUACUGUGUGACUGGAUGAAGCAGCAGCUCGAUGACAAGGAAACAAAAGUCCAGGUUUCUAAGAGGCUUUGUUCCUCACCUUGUGUGCUUGUUUCUGGCAAGUUUGGCUGGUCAGCAAACAUGGAAGCACAUACGCUUGGUGAUACAUAAAGCUUGGAAUCCAUGGGGGGGAGAAGAAUCUUGGAAAUCAAUGCUGAACACCCUAUUGUAAAAGAUUUAAAUGCUGCUUGCAAGAACGAUCCAAGCAGCACGGAAGCAAGACUAAAGAGAGCUGUGGAUCUACUAUAUGACACAGCACUGAUAUUAUGAUUCAUGAUAAUUGGCCAUCAUUUUAAUUAUGUUUUUUUUUAUUUUCUAAGAGAGAAUUAGAAAGGAAAAGCCGCAACAAAGAAUUGUUUCACAUCCAAAAAACUGAUUUCCAAUGAAAAUUAUAUCAGGGUUUAAUUUUUAAA
This is a long non-coding RNA of Zingiber officinale, 1663 nucleotides long. RefSeq lists it as uncharacterized. The transcript is spliced from 5 exons. NCBI's taxonomy places the organism in Eukaryota, Viridiplantae, Streptophyta, Magnoliopsida, Zingiberales, Zingiberaceae. The record is from RefSeq and is a predicted model, not a curated record.